This 515-nucleotide ribosomal RNA is filed under the name uncultured bacterium. Its description in RNAcentral is "bacterial SSU rRNA". It matches the Rfam family "Bacterial small subunit ribosomal RNA", at positions 9 to 518 of the family's 1533-position model. The record is from RNAcentral.
GAGUUGAUCAUGGCUCAGGAUGAACGCUAGCGACAGGCUUAACACAUGCAAGUCGAGGGGCAGCAUAAAAGUAGCAAUACUUGGUGGCGACCGGCGCACGGGUGAGUAACGCGUAUGCAACCUACCUAUCAGAGGGGAAUAACCCGGCGAAAGUCGGACUAAUACCGCAUAAAACAGGGGCACCGCAUGGUGAUAUUUGUUAAAGAAAUUCGCUGAUAGAUGGGCAUGCGUUCCAUUAGGUAGUUGGUGAGGUAACGGCUCACCAAGCCGACGAUGGAUAGGGGAACUGAGAGGUUGGUCCCCCACACUGGUACUGAGACACGGACCAGACUCCUACGGGAGGCAGCAGUGAGGAAUAUUGGUCAAUGGGCGGGAGCCUGAACCAGCCAAGUCGCGUGAAGGAAGAAGGAUCUAUGGUUCGUAAACUUCUUUUGCAGGGGAAUAAAGUGCAGGACGUGUCCUGUUUUGUAUGUACCCUGAGAAUAAGGAUCGGCUAACUCCGUGCCAGCCGCCGC